AAAAAGUCGGCCAUGGCAACGACUCCACGUGCUCCAUUCAUCAAACUUUCAAACAUACAAUAGGCAUCAUGCUCCAUAAAUCUUUCUGAGAUGAUAAUUCCCAACUCGCCUUCCGCCCCAUAAGCAUCACUUAACAAAUACAUAUCCCUCGUGCCUGAAUCUAGCUCAUCCAGGCUGCCUAAUGCUUUGCUUUCCUGAAAGCCCUCAUCGUCGGUACCUGCAUCAGUG
Molecule: unclassified non-coding RNA, 228 nt
Filed under: Hevea brasiliensis (rubber tree)
Lineage: Eukaryota; Viridiplantae; Streptophyta; Magnoliopsida; Malpighiales; Euphorbiaceae
Source: RNAcentral